This 334-nucleotide ribosomal RNA is filed under the name uncultured eukaryote. Its description in RNAcentral is "partial 18S ribosomal RNA". It matches the Rfam family "Eukaryotic small subunit ribosomal RNA", at positions 1470 to 1796 of the family's 1831-position model. The record is from RNAcentral.
CCCUUAGAUGUCCGGGGCCGCACGCGCGCUACACUGAAGGAAUCAGCGUGGCUUUCUCCCUGACCCGAAAGGGUUGGGAAACCCGUUGAAUCUCCUUCGUGAUAGGGAUUGGGGCUUGAAAUUGUUCCCCAUGAACGAGGAAUUCCCAGUAAGCGCGAGUCAUAAGCUCGCGUUGAUUACGUCCCUGCCCUUUGUACACACCGCCCGUCGCUACUACCGAUUGAACGGUUUAGUGAGGGCCUCGGAUUGGUCUCGGCCCGCUCUUUACCGGGCGGCGCCGUUGGUCGAGAAGACGCUCGAACUUGAUCGUUUAGAGGAAGUAACAGUCGUAACA